GGCCACAGGACAAGCCCGAGGAGCAGGCGGGCGCUCCAGGGAAAAACCACGCACAAAACCUUCUUCAGAGAAAAGGGAAGCUCCAAACCUGACUGAGACAAACGGAGGCUCUUGAAAUAAAAAGAAAAUACCGCAGGACAAACAGCCUCCCGUCUCCGGGCGCAGGUCGUGGUCACAGUGGUGACCUGGGAUUGCUUUCCCAGGACUGCGAGUCGGGCUUGGGUUUCUCCUCCCUGCAUUCCACAGCUGCUCUGGUCAUCGCAACGUGUUUAUUGAUCACUGAAGAAUCUCAAGUUUUGAGACGAGGAAGAAACACCCAUUAGGUCUCCAAGACAGCUGUGUUUCACAAACUUUAAGGAGACAGAAAUUUUCUCCCCUGGAACCUGUGAAAAUGUCCCUUUUCCAAGGAAGUGAAGGUUAAGAGGUCUCGUUCUCACAGACCCUCAGGAAUUUCGCUUGGCUCCGAGCUUUGACCUCCGAGAGAGCCAUGGAAAAGCUGCUGCGGCUGUGCUGCUGGUGCUCCUGGCUGCUGCUAUUUUAUUACAACUUUCAGGUGCGUGGCGUCUACUCCAGAUCGCAGGACCAUCCAGGAUUUCAGGUGUUGGCAUCUGCUUCCCAUUACUGGCCACUGGAGAAUGUGGAUGGGAUCCAUGAACUUCAGGAUACAACUGGAGAAGCUGGCCUGAGGAUGCCUCUAUGUGCAAGUCA
RNAcentral lists this small RNA (708 nucleotides) under Pan troglodytes (chimpanzee). RNAcentral's name for it is "processed transcript". Lineage: Eukaryota; Metazoa; Chordata; Mammalia; Primates; Hominidae. The record is from RNAcentral.